AAAUUAAAUGAAGCGCCAGACUUGUAUUGCAAGUUGACGAGGUCAGGGUUAAUCGAAAAUUCGGCGGGUGCCCUGCGCUGUGACUCGACAGUGUGACAGAUUUUACAAAUCCUCAAGCAAUUGAUGGGACAAAGAAAAUCUGAUUGAGUCAA
RNAcentral lists this non-coding RNA (152 nucleotides) under Clostridia bacterium. RNAcentral describes it as "GlcN6P sequence". It matches the Rfam family "glmS glucosamine-6-phosphate activated ribozyme aptamer". Rfam says of the family: This entry contains a glucosamine-6-phosphate activated ribozyme that is found in the mRNA for GlmS. Lineage: Bacteria; Bacillati; Bacillota; Clostridia. The record is from RNAcentral.